GGGAUCAGAGGAGGCGGGGAUAAAACCUAGGACCUGAACACCCAGUUCAGGGAACGAGGAGGUGCCCGCGAGGUGGCUCUGGGUUUCAGGAUAACAGCCAAAGACGGUUGAUCAGUUCGUGGAUUCAUUACACGGGGAUUGGAUGUAUGUACAAGGGAAACAGUAGUGGACUCAAAACUGGGGGAAGGAGGUGUAUAUGGAAUUGACCCCAGGAACCGCAGCUGCUUACCUCUGACCGGUGGGUCCCAGGGAACAUGGCUGAGGCACACCAGGCCUCGAGCUUGCUGUCUUCACUCAGUUCCGACGGGGCAGAAGUGGAGCUCAGCUCCUCAGUGUGGCAGGAGAUUUACCUCUCUGCCCUACGCUCCUGGAAAAGGCAUCUCUGGCGUGUCUGGAAUGACUUUCUUGCUGGUGUGGUCCCGGCAACGCCCCUCAGCUGGCUUUUCCUCUUCAGUACAAUCCAGCUUGCUUGUCUCCUCCAGCUGGACCCUUCCCUAGGACUGAUGGAGAAGAUUAAAGAGUUGCUGCCAGACUGGGGCGGACAGCACCACCAGCUCCAGGGGCUCCUGGCAGCAGCAGUCUUUGCCUCGUGUUUGUGGGGAACCCUGAUCUUCACACUUCAUGUGGCUCUGAGGCUCCUGCUGUCCCACCACGGCUGGCUUCUGGAACCUCAUGGUACCAUGUCCUCACCCACGAAGACCUGGCUGGCAUUGGUCAGAAUCUUUUCGGGGAGGCACCCGAGGCUCUUCAGCUUUCAACGUGCGCUCCCGCGGCAGCCAGUGCCCGGAGCGCAUGAGACCGUGCGCAAGUACCUAGAGUCCGUGCGCCCUGUGCUCCGAGACGACGCUUUCGACAGCGUUGUGGCGCUGGCAAACGACUUCCUGAGGUUGCAGGCGCCACGACUCCAGCUCUAUUUGCAACUCAAGUCCUGGUGCGCUUCCAACUACGUCAGCGACUGGUGGGAAGAGUUUGUGUACCUGCGUUCUCGAGGCUCGCUGGUUAAUAGCACCUACUACAUGAUGGUGAGGAGGGAGAGGCAGGCAGGGGCUGGCAGGGGCCUUGUGGCCUUGGCGACCCAUGACAGUGCAGAGCGCUGGCUGGGGCCCCCAUCAGGGACAAGCAUGGCCUCAGUAUAUUUUGUAUUCCCUCCCUUUGCCACCAAGCAGGAUUUUCUGUAUGUCACCCCCACACCACUGCAGGCAGCCCGUGCGGGCAAUGCCGUGCAUACCCUGCUCCUGUAUCGCCACCUUCUGAACCGGCAGGAGAUCCCACCGACCUUGCUGAUGGGGAUGCGACCCUUGUGCUCCGCCCAGUACGAGAGGAUGUUCAACACUACACGGAUUCCAGGGGUGGAAAAAGACUACCUUUGUCACCUCCAAGACAGCCAACAUGUGGCUGUCUUCCACCAGGGCAGAUUCUUCCGUGUAGAGACCCACUCUUCCAAUGGCCUGCUGUCCCCACGGGCCCUGGAACAGCAGUUCCAGGACAUCCUGGACGACCCCUCCCCAGCCUGUCCCCUUGAGGAACAUCUAGCUGCUUUGACUGCCGCUCCCAGGAGUAUGUGGGCCCAGGUACGUGAGUCUGUGAAGACCCAUGCGGCCACUGCCUUGGAGACUGUGGAAGGGGCUGCCUUCUUUGUGUCCCUGGAUUCUGAGCCCGCGGGACUGACCAGAGAGAACCCCGCAGCUUCCCUAGACACCUAUGCCCACAGUCUGCUGACUGGCCAAGGCCAUGACCGUUGGUUUGACAAAUCCUUCACCCUCAUCGUCUUCUCCAACGGGAAGCUGGGCCUCAGCGUGGAGCACUCAUGGGCUGACUGCCCUGUCGCGGGACAUUUAUGGGAGUUCACCCUGGCCACAGAGUGCUUCCAGUUGGGAUACGCCACAGACGGCCACUGUAAGGGGUACACCGACCCUGCCCUGCCGAAGCCCCAGCGCCUGCAGUGGGACCUUCCAGAGCAGAUCCAGCCGUCCAUCUCUCUGGCCCUGAGGGGAGCCAAGACCUUGUCUGGCAAUAUUGACUGCCAUGUCUUCCCCUUCUUCCACUUCGGCAAGAGCUUCAUCAAACGCUGUCAUGUCUCUUCAGACAGUUUCAUCCAGCUGGUCCUGCAGCUGGCCCACUUCAGGGACAGGGGUCAAUUCUGCCUGACUUAUGAAUCAGCCAUGACCCGACUGUUUCUGGAAGGCAGGACGGAGACAGUGAGGUCUUGCACUAGAGAGGCCUGCCAAUUUGUGAGAGCCAUGGAAAACAAGGAGAGGACAACUGCCCUGGGGGACCUAGGACCAACAGUGCCUUGCCCUGUUCCGGGUAGCCGUGGACAAGCACCAGGCCCUGCUGAAGGCAGCAAUGAGUGGGCAAGGGAUCGACCGUCACCUCUUCGCACUGUACAUCAUGUCCCGGCUUCUCCACAUGCAGUCGCCCUUCCUGACCCAGGUCCAGUCGCAGCAAUGGCUUCUGUCUACCAGCCAGAUCCCUGUGCAGCAGGCACACCUGUUCGAUGUCCACAAUUACCCGGAUUAUGUUUCCUCUGGAGGUGGAUUUGGGCCUGCCCAUGACCAUGGGUAUGGCGUCUCCUACAUCUUCAUGGGGGAAAACGCAAUCACCUUCCACAUCUCCAGCAAGCAAUCAAGCACAGAAACAGACUCACACCGGCUGGGGCAGCACAUUGAAGAUGCCCUGUUGGAUGUAGCCUCCCUGUUCCAGGCUGGACAGCAAUUCAAGCGCCAGUUCACAGGGCUCGGGGAGAGUUCAUGUUGGAAAUACAGCAAUCUCUCCUGUAAGACUGUGGACCCCAAUAUCCCCAAAUCCUCCACCAACUUGUGAGCCCCUCAGCAGGGAGCUGGUCUCCCUCAGGAAGGAGGGCAUUGCUCCCAGGACUUGGCUGGCGCAGACAGGGGUAUUGGGGAUCCCCACACCCUCCUGGUAAUAAAGAUGGGAGUUGGAUGCAGUA
Rattus rattus (black rat) is the source of this 2950-nucleotide RNA transcript. It is a transcript of the gene named carnitine palmitoyltransferase 1C, with no coding region annotated. NCBI's taxonomy places the organism in Eukaryota, Metazoa, Chordata, Mammalia, Rodentia, Muridae. The transcript has 18 exons. The record is from RefSeq and is a predicted model, not a curated record.